RNAcentral lists this long non-coding RNA (241 nucleotides) under Musa acuminata (dwarf banana). Its description in RNAcentral is "long non-coding RNA (MACU_LNC010601)". The record is from RNAcentral. Lineage: Eukaryota; Viridiplantae; Streptophyta; Magnoliopsida; Zingiberales; Musaceae.
UCAAUCAAAAAUCGAGGUGAUGCAAACCUAUUUGGAGGCGAUAGCUAAGUGGAAAAGGAAUCGAUGGGCAAAUUUUAUGGAGGAAAGAUCCCAAAACCUUUAAAGUUUACAAGGCGAUGUUAAUUAAAGCUCCCACGGACAUCCACCCAGCUCAAGUGGCAUAAAACAUUUGAGAGACUAGCACAUAACAAGGAAGAUCUUCUCCUUCAUCUAAAGGAUCCCUAGGAACCAAAAGGAUCAG